Molecule: ribosomal RNA, 178 nt
Filed under: Helicobacter pylori
Lineage: Bacteria; Pseudomonadati; Campylobacterota; Epsilonproteobacteria; Campylobacterales; Helicobacteraceae
Description: partial 23S ribosomal RNA
Rfam family: Bacterial large subunit ribosomal RNA
Source: RNAcentral
AGCUGUCUCAACCAGAGAUUCAGUGAAAUUGUAGUGGAGGUGAAAAUUCCUCCUACCCGCGGCAAGACGGAGAGACCCCGUGGACCUUUACUACAACUUAGCACUGCUAACGGGAAUACCAUGCGCAGGAUAGGUGGGAGGCUUUGAAGUAAGGGCUUUGGCUCUUAUGGAGUCAUCC